This 253-nucleotide ribosomal RNA is filed under the name uncultured bacterium. Its description in RNAcentral is "partial 16S ribosomal RNA". It matches the Rfam family "Bacterial small subunit ribosomal RNA", at positions 524 to 776 of the family's 1533-position model. The record is from RNAcentral.
GACAGAGGCCUCAAGCGUUAGGCGGAAUCACUGGGCUUAAAGCGUGUGUAGGCGGAUCGUUAAGUGUCUUGUGGAAUCCCACGGCUCACCCGUGGAACGGCUGGGCAUACUGGCGAUCUUGGGCCAACUAGGGGCAACUGGAACAAGCGGUGGAGCGGUGAAAUGCGUAGAUAUCGCUUGGAACGCCGAAGGUGAAAACAGGUUGCUGGGGUUGUGCCGACGCUGAGACACGAAAGCCAGGGGAGCAAACGGG